CAAGCGUUGUCCGGAUUUAUUGGGCGUAAAGAGCUCGUAGGCGGCUCAGUAAGUCAGGUGUGAAACCUCCAGGCUCAACCUGGAGACGCCACCUGAUACUGCUGUGGCUAGAGUCCGGUAGGGGAGCGUGGAAUUCCUGGUGUAGCGGUGAAAUGCGCAGAUAUCAGGAGGAACACCAGCGGCGAAGGCGGCGCUCUGGGCCGGAACUGACGCUGAGGAGCGAAAGCCAAGGUAGCAAACAGG
RNAcentral lists this ribosomal RNA (243 nucleotides) under uncultured bacterium. RNAcentral's name for it is "partial 16S ribosomal RNA". It matches the Rfam family "Bacterial small subunit ribosomal RNA", at positions 535 to 776 of the family's 1533-position model. The record is from RNAcentral.